UCUACAUCAUCGUCAUUAUCAUACAUAAUAAUAGUGACGAAUGAGGUGAGCGGAGAGGCCGCCGUGUCCCGGGGUAGCUCGCUUUUCCCUCGCAGCUCGGUGAUCACAGAUCACAGUCCAGCCCGGGGACCUCGCGCUGCCCGCCCGGCUCCAGGCUCGAGCUCCCUGCCCCUAGACCAGACCCGCAGAUCGCGCCUGCCGGAGGGCAGCUGGCCGAGAGAGCCCGGCACGCAGGCUGGUGCAGGGGGCGACCGAGCGGAGUCCUUACCGCCGUGCGCUUCCGCCGAGCCCGCGUCCUCCUCCCACGCGCGACAGCGAUCACGUCCUGCAGGGAGCCCACCGGCCCCGGCCGACGCUGGUGUAGCGGGACUUUGACAUCGGCCUGGGGCUCUCGGCUCCGGUCCUCGCUUCCUCGUGUCCCUCUGGCGCCACCCCGCACACCGGGGGUCUCGAGCGCGACUGUCACUGUCCCGCGCGGGACAGAGCGCGGGGUGUGGGUGUUGACACAGCAGCUCUGUCUGGGGGGUCCUGCAUGCGGGGGCACUGACAGAUAACCACGCCGUGGAUGGCAAUGAGACCCACGGAGCCAGAGGCGCGAGGGAAGACGAUUCCGACGCAGUGCUUUCCAGAAGCUCGGUUUCUAGUGAUUUAAAUUCUGUAUUUCUAUGUCAUGGAAGGGACUCCGCCGCUCGCUUUACGGUUUUAAAGAAGGUGUCGUGCACAUCUGCUCCGGCCACAGAGAAACAGGGUGUAAAGGCUAAAGUAACCCACGGGGGACGAAGUUAUCUGCACAUGUAUACCGUCUCGAGUGGAGUUCAUGGACAACGACUGGCAAAAAAAAAGAGCAGAUCCCCAGCUCGCUUUGAAUAAGUCCAGAGGCGCGUAUACCGUAUAAUCCUGCACACUCGGUCUCUCCUCCCUCUCUCCCUCCCUCUGCCUCUCUCUCCCUCUCCCUCUCUCGCCCGGGAGCCCUCUGUCAGUCCACGCUCGGGGCACAGGAGACAGAUUGAAAGUGACAACAGUCCGGUCCCGGCUGCUGCCCUCGGUUCCCCGACAGCGACGGCGCGCCUGCCCGAGCCCUGUCCGGUGCGUGCCGCGCUGUGCCCGUGCCCGAGCCCGAGCCGGCGGCUCUGUCAUUGGCUGCCUCCGUUUCCUCCUUCGCUCCUCCGGCUCUGAUGUGUUGAUUGUGUCUC
Lepisosteus oculatus (spotted gar) is the source of this 1193-nucleotide non-coding RNA. Lineage: Eukaryota; Metazoa; Chordata; Actinopteri; Semionotiformes; Lepisosteidae. The record is from RefSeq and is a predicted model, not a curated record.